Molecule: ribosomal RNA, 297 nt
Filed under: Triticum aestivum (bread wheat)
Lineage: Eukaryota; Viridiplantae; Streptophyta; Magnoliopsida; Poales; Poaceae
Description: partial small subunit ribosomal RNA
Source: RNAcentral
AUGUGCAUUCACCAUGAUCCAGAUGUGUGGGGAGAAGAUGUCGAUGAAUUUAAGCCGGAGAGGUUUGCGGAGGGCAUUGUUGGCGCAUCCAAGAACUCGCCGGCGUUCUUUCCGUUUGGCUGGGGACCGCGGAUUUGCGUCGGGCAAAACUUUGCAUUGCUAGAGGCCAAGAUGGGAUUGAGCCUGAUCCUGCAACACUUCAUGUUCGAGCUCUCACCGUCCUAUACGCAUGCGCCAUGCCCGGUCUCCACUCUGCAGCCCCAACAUGCUGCGCAGAUUAAACUCAUGAAACUCUAA